AACCGACCUGGCUCACACCGGUUUAAACUCAGAUCAUGUAAAAUUUUAAAGGUCGAACAGACCUAAUUUAUUAGCUUCUACACCAAUAAUUCAAUUUUAAUCCAACAUCGAGGUCGCAAUCUCCUUCUUCGAUAAGAACUCUAAAAGAAAUCACGCUGUUAUCCCUAAGGUAAUUUAAUCUUCUAAUCUAAAUCUUAGGAUCAAAAAAUCAUUUAUUUAUGGUUCGCAAAAAAAAAAGUUACUUAAAUUUUUCUGUCACCCCAACAAAAUACUUAGAAUAUACCCAACUUUAAUCAUUUUCCUUUUUAAUUACAAAUAAUUCCAAAUAUAAAAUUCUAUAGGGUCUUCUCGUCUUCUAUAAAUAUUUAAGCUUUUUCACUUAAAAAUAAAAUUCUAUUAAAUUUUACCUGAGACAGAAACUUUUUCAUCAAACCCUUCAUCCAAGCUUUCAAUUAAAAAACUAGUGAUUAUGCUACCUUUGCACGGUCAAUAUACCGCGGCCAUUUAAUUCUCAUUGGGCAGGCCCRACUUGAAAUUAUAAUCAACAASCCAUGUUUUUAA
Molecule: ribosomal RNA, 561 nt
Filed under: Trigonopterus discoidalis
Lineage: Eukaryota; Metazoa; Arthropoda; Insecta; Coleoptera; Curculionidae
Description: partial 16S ribosomal RNA
Source: RNAcentral